CUCGUAGUGGGGGGACAACCGUGGGAAACUACGGCUAAUACCGCAUGAUCCGUCGUAGGGACGGAACGAACGAAACGUAACGCCGUUGAGGAGGAGCCUGCGUCUGAUUAGGUAGUUGGUGGGGUAAAGGCCUACCAAGCCCUGCGAUCAGUAGCUGGUCUGAGAGGAUGAUCAGCCACAUGGGACUGAGACACGGCCCAAACUCCUACGGGAGGCAGCAGUGGGGAAUNUUGGACAAUGGGCGCAAGCCUGAUCCAGCAAUGCCGCGUGGGUGAAGAAGGUCUUCGGAUUGUAAAGCCCUUUUGGCGGGGACGAUGAUGACGGUACCCGCAGAAUAAGCUCCGGCUAACUUCGUG
Molecule: ribosomal RNA, 356 nt
Filed under: uncultured bacterium
Lineage: Bacteria
Description: bacterial SSU rRNA
Rfam family: Bacterial small subunit ribosomal RNA
Source: RNAcentral